UCUCCGUUGGUGAACCAGCGGAGGGAUCAUUACCGAGUUCACAACACCCAAACCCUAUGUGAACGUUACUAAACUGUUGCCCCGGCGGGAACUCUGCCCCGGGUGCGUCGCAGCCCCGGACCAAGGCGCCCGCCUUGGUACCAAUCAAAACUCUUUGUGUAGACCCCCUCGCGAGUUUUUUUACAACCUGUGUCAUCUCGGCGCCCCUCGUGGUCGACUCGAAAAUGAGUCAAAACUUUCAACAACGGAUCUCUUGGUUCUG
This 262-nucleotide unclassified non-coding RNA is filed under the name plant metagenome. RNAcentral describes it as "partial contains small subunit ribosomal RNA, internal transcribed spacer 1, and 5.8S ribosomal RNA". The record is from RNAcentral.